Molecule: ribosomal RNA, 427 nt
Filed under: uncultured bacterium
Lineage: Bacteria
Description: partial 16S ribosomal RNA
Rfam family: Bacterial small subunit ribosomal RNA
Source: RNAcentral
UGGGGAAUAUUGGACAAUGGGCGAAAGCCUGAUCCAGCCAUGCCGCGUGUGUGAAGAAGGUCUUCGGAUUGUAAAGCACUUUAAGUUGGGAGGAAGGGCAUUAACCUAAUACGUUAGUGUUUUGACGUUACCGACAGAAUAAGCACCGGCUAACUCUGUGCCAGCAGCCGCGGUAAUACAGAGGGUGCAAGCGUUAAUCGGAAUUACUGGGCGUAAAGCGCGCGUAGGUGGUUUGUUAAGUUGGAUGUGAAAUCCCCGGGCUCAACCUGGGAACUGCAUUCAAAACUGACUGACUAGAGUAUGGUAGAGGGUGGUGGAAGUUCCUGUGUAGCGGUGAAAUGCGUAGAUAUAGGAAGGAACACCAGUGGCGAAGGCGACCACCUGGACUAAUACUGACACUGAGGUGCGAAAGCGUGGGGAGCAAACA